Molecule: long non-coding RNA, 601 nt
Filed under: Rattus norvegicus (Norway rat)
Lineage: Eukaryota; Metazoa; Chordata; Mammalia; Rodentia; Muridae
Description: long non-coding RNA NONRATT001891
Source: RNAcentral
CGUGGGCUGCUGGCUGCCGCUGUGGGAACGAUGACAGACGAUCAGGACUGUGCUGCAGAGCUGGAAAUGGCAGAUUCUUCGACGGAAGACGGAGUUGACGCUAAGCCAGACCGCUCCACCAUCAUCUCAUCCCUUCUCUGGCAGAAUGCUUCGUCGGUACACAGGGACACCUCGGUUCACCGCACACGGGAGUCCUGCAUCUGAGCCCAAGUGUCUGUGUGUUCAGUGGCUUUUCUGCACAGUGCAAAGUGCACACACAGUGAGACGAGGUCAAGCAAGCACCACCUGAAGCUCCUCUGAUGCGCUGUGCUGUUGGCUGUCCACCAUUUUCUGGUCUGUGUGUGAAAAUUUUUCUACUGUUGCCAAAACGUUUCUGUGCCCCCCCUUCCUCGGUUACACAACUGCAUAUUAAGGGGUCUGUGACUCCCAGAACUGGCUUUUUAAAUAAAACACUGUCCACCUACCAGGGGGACAUCCAUGUAAAUGAAAUGCACUUAGGAUCCGUGAUGUCCCUAAAGUGCAGAUUCUCUUUGCUAAUUUUUUUAACCUAAAAUGGAACUUUUUAUUUCAUCUAUUAAAGUUUCCUUGGCUUUACACUUCA